ACCGGCGUCCCCACGGCUGGGUGGCGGCGGCACCGCAGCACCCGGCUGCCCUGUGCGCCCGUCCCUGGGGGGCUAAGGCACUGCGGGGAACGGCGUCGGCUCCGGACUGAGAGGCUCGGGGAGGGAGCCGCUUUAGGAGGAGGCUGUGGGAUUUCGGGGUAGGCUCCGGGAGUCCCUUGCAGGGUCAGAGGGCUUCGCACCUUGGCAUCUGGCUUCCCAGCCCACUCCAGAGACUGGGUGGCUCCACUGAGGAGGCCCCAUGCCCCAGGAACCGGGAAGCCCCUCUGCGCCGUAAGCCCAGAGCUGGGCUGGAACCAGCUCCCCACUCCUCUCUGCCCCGCCGAGAGCAGGAGCCGGCUCUGCCGCUGCAGCCCGUGCGGACUACAACACAAACAUUCUUCCGUCCUCUAUUCUCCUCCAAAUUAGGUAUCCAUGGAGACAGGGCCGGCAGCCUGACAGCCCUACGGCCUAAUCCUGAUUUAGUGACCGUCCCUUUAACAGCCCACCCACCCAUCCACCCACCCCGGCGCUCCAGGCCGCCGCUGGGCGCAGGCCCCAGGCCGCGCGCUCUCUGCCCCGCGCCGACCCCUUUCCAGCCCUCCUCCUCUGGCGGGAGCAGGGGGACCAGCGGGGCUGGGGAAGGGGACCAGCGUUUGCUGAUCACCUACUGGGUGCUUAACACUCUGCGAAGGACCCUCUGAGGAGGGGGUUGCUGGCAUGCGAAUCUCCGUGUAGACCAGGAGAGGGCUCUUGCGGUGGGGAACUUUGAGGGGCCCUCUCUGGAGACCUGGGAGCUCCGAGGGUCCCCCCUGUAGCCUGUAUCCCCCAGGGUGAAGGGGCCGCUGGACAAAGACCUGACGGAGUGGGAGGGGCCUGCUGGCCGGCCCUCGGGCUCCGGACGCUGGAUCCUUCUGGGACCUGAACCCGCAAACCCCGGCUCCCCACCCCCAGGCCUGCAGACGCCCCCCGAGCCGGCUGUUCGCUUUCGCUCAAGCCUCCGCACCAGAGGGGGCUGUGAGGCGGGUGCCCGUCGCGGCCGGGCGGAGAUCCCCGGCUCUGCCGCCCCCUCCCCCCGGGAAGUGACCCUCGCCUCCCACGUACCCGCUAGGGUCUCCCGCCGGCCCUGCCCUCCGACCCCAGCCGAGGUGAAACCCGCGAUCCGCAGCCCCCUCCCUCUCCGGCCCUCCCCGGCCCCGCACUAGCGGACAAAGCUCCGGACACCCGGACCAAACGGUCACCUCCCCCAACCCCGGACCCCGGCAGGUCCGCGGUCCCGUACCUCGGCAUCCCGGCCGGGUCCUAGGCUUCAUCAGCGAUAAAGCCCAGGAACCCACUUUGUCCCAGGAGAAGAUAGAAGGGGGCCGUGCUGAUGAUGCAGGGUCAGGAGAACCUUCCUGAUGUGGAUCCUCCAGAUGUCCCAAGGCUAUGGUGUUUCCACCCAAGGGCAGUGCUUAAGGGUCCUCUCUCCUGAGGGCUUUUUUUUUCCCUUUUGAAUGGCUCUCUAGCCUGAGUGUCAGUAGGGCAAGAUUGGCACUCACCACCUAGCCUGCAGAUAAGGGUUCUGUCCCCUUUUGCAGGACUCCAAAACACUGCCCCCUCCCUCCUCCUAAUGUGGAUUCCUCUGGGGUCUGACGGGUCUGGGGCACUCCUUUAGGUGCCACUCAGGGAAAGGGAAGGGUCUCAGUAGCUCCCACUUCUUUCCCAGCCCACGUAUGGAAGCACCCAGCACCCACGCAGGCUCUGGUACUUGCCAAGGUCACUGUCUCUUCCACCUUCAGAAUCUCUCUUUCUUUCCACUCCACACCCCCAGGACCCUACCCUGGCACAGGAGGAGGGAUGUGGCAUGGCUCAGAGUGCUAGAGUAGCCCUGGCUUCAGAAUUAGAAAGGCACGAUGAAGGGAGCCACGGCCACCAUGCUAAGAGAGUGGAGCCCUUGCUGGAGGGACAGUCCCAGGCUGCCAGCUGGAAGGAACUCCUUGAAUAUUUCCUCAUUGUUGGAGUAUCAGAGGCCCAGAGAGGAGAAGUGACACAGUUGGGGUCACACAGCAAAGCUGGAUCUAGAACUCACUGCACUCUUGCCACUCCUACCUGUCAGGUUCCCCAAGAGCCAGAAACAGGAACUAAGGGAAAGACUAAUGUCCACAUGAGCUAGGUCCCUCAGCAGGAUCAGUGCCAGGAAGCCAAGCCUGGCAUUGCCAUCAGGGAUCCUGACAUUAGGCUCCAGGGUAGGGGGUAUGACAGGAGAGGGGGUUGGACUGAGGGCCCAGCCUGAAGGAAGGAAUUGAUCAUACACUCCCCUGGAGUUCUCCUUCAUCUUCCAGGAGUCCAGGAGUAAAGAAAGGGACAAGCUGAAA
Long non-coding RNA from Sapajus apella (tufted capuchin), 2354 nucleotides. RefSeq lists it as uncharacterized. The transcript has 3 exons. NCBI's taxonomy places the organism in Eukaryota, Metazoa, Chordata, Mammalia, Primates, Cebidae. The record is from RefSeq and is a predicted model, not a curated record.